AUGAGCCUAUCCGACGGCCACGAUAUACUUUUCACGCGCGAGCCAGCGCGUAUACGUACGGUCAAAAAAUACGUAGGCGCGUACCUCCCUCUCGUUGUACAUGGGGAUUUGGACGAGCACCAUGGGGCGACGCGGCCGGCCUCCUCGUCGUCGUCGUCGUCGUCGGCGCCGGCGCCGGCGCCGAGCGGGGUCGCGCGGUACCGCCGGUCGGGGCGGCGGCGGGCGAAGCAGGCGGCGGCCAUGAGCACGGCGUCAGCGAGGAGCAUGGCGGAGAGCGCCAGGCACGCGGCGGACGCGGCCGCGAGCGCCGGCGCCACGGCCGACGCGCGCGCCGCGCCCCACGCCGCCACCAGCUCGGCGGACGACGGCCACCGCAGCAGCAGCAGGAGGAGGGACUCGCCGCCUCGCCACCGCACCGCCGCUGCGGCGGCGGCGGUGGGCCCGUCGGCGCCGGCUAUGGCCAUGGCCCCCGCGCUCGUGUGCUCACUGCUCGCGACUGCCUUUUUAGCCUGUCGUCGGCUCUGGUUGCAGCUGCAGCUGCUUUUCUGUGCGCUUCGGUGCGCCCAGGGCGCCUUUUCACCUUUUUAUUUUGGGUGUACUUUAACGAUGAGUCGAAGAUGGAUUCUAAUCUUCCAGGAUGACUACCCAUUUAUAUUUAUUGUAUAUCAAUUAAAUAGUUAUAUUUUUUCUUAAAAAAAUAUAA
This 703-nucleotide long non-coding RNA is filed under the name Oryza sativa Indica Group (long-grained rice). Its description in RNAcentral is "lncRNA OsZS97_06G008700". The record is from RNAcentral. Lineage: Eukaryota; Viridiplantae; Streptophyta; Magnoliopsida; Poales; Poaceae.